CUGAAGGAAACACAACCAGAAGCUCAGAGGAUCUCUACAUACAGGAAGGUUCUCUACAUUUACAGAAUGGAACGUUCUCUACAUCUACUGAGAGGAAGGUUCUCUACAUCUACUGAGAGGAAGGUUCUCUACAUCUACUGAGAGGAAGGUUCUCUACAUCUACUGAGAGGAAGGUUCUCUACAUCUACUGAGAGGAAGGUUCUCUACAUCUACUGAGAGGAACGUUCUCCACAUCUACUGAGAGGAACGUUCUCCACAUCUACUGAGAGGAAGGUUCUCCACAUCUACUGAGAGGAACGUUCUCCACAUCUACUGAGAGGAACGUUCUCUACAUCUACUGAGAGGAACGUUCUCCACAUCUACUGAGAGGAAGGUUCUCUACAUCUACUGAGAGGAAGGUUCUCUACAUCUACUGAGAGGAAGGUUCUCUACAUCUACUGAGAGGAGCGUUCUCUACAUCUACUGAGAGGAAGGUUCUCCACAUCUACUGAGAGGAACGUUCUCUACAUCUACUGAGAGGAGCGUUCUCUACAUCUACUGAGAGGAGCGUUCUCUACAUCUACUGAGAGGAAGGUUCUCCACAUCUACUGAGAGGAACGUUCUCCACAUCUACUGAGAGGAAGGUUCUCCACAUCUACUGAGAGGAACGUUCUCCACAUCUACAGAGAGGAACGUUCUCCACAUCUACUGAGAGGAAGGUUCUCCACAUCUACUGAGAGGAAGGUUCUCUACAUCUACUGAGAGGAAGGUUCUCUACAUCUACUGAGAGGAGCGUUCUCUACAUCUACUGAGAGGAAGGUUCUCCACAUCUACUGAGAGGAAGGUUCUCCACAUCUACAGAGAGGAAGGUUCUCUACAUCUACUGAGAGGAAGGUUCUCUACAUCUACUGAGAGGAAGGUUCUCUACAUCUACAGAGAGGAAGGUUCUCUACAUCUACUGAGAGGAGCGUUCUCUACAUCUACUGAGAGGAGCGUUCUCUACAUCUACUGAGAGGAAGGUUCUCUACAUCUACUGAGAGGACCGUUCUCCACAUCUACAGAGAGGAACGUUCUCCACAUCUACUGAGAGGAAGGUUCUCCACAUCUACUGAGAGGAAGGUUCUCUACAUCUACUGAGAGGAGCGUUCUCUACAUCUACUGAGAGGAGCGUUCUCUACAUCUACUGAGAGGAAGGUUCUCUACAUCUACUGAGAGGAAGGUUCUCCACAUCUACAGAGAGGAACGUUCUCCACAUCUACUGAGAGGAAGGUUCUCUACAUCUACUGAGAGGAGCGUUCUCUACAUCUACUGAGAGGAGCGUUCUCUACAUCUACUGAGAGGAAGGUUCUCUACAUCUACUGAGAGGAAGGUUCUCCACAUCUACAGAGAGGAACGUUCUCCACAUCUACUGAGAGGAAGGUUCUCUACAUCUACUGAGAGGAGCGUUCUCUACAUCUACUGAGAGGAGCGUUCUCUACAUCUACUGAGAGGAAGGUUCUCUACAUCUACUGAGAGGAAGGUUCUCUACAUCUACUGAGAGGAAGGUUCUCUACAUCUACUGAGAGGAGCGUUCUCUACAUCUACUGAGAGGAAGGUUCUCUACAUCUACUGAGAGGACCGUUCUCCACAUCUACAGAGAGGAACGUUCUCUACAUCUACUGAGAGGAAGGUUCUUUACAUCUACUGAGAGGAACGUUCUCCACAUCUACAGAGAGGAACAUUCUCUACAUCUACUGAGAGGAACGUUCUCCACAUCUACAGAGAGGAACAUUCUCUGCAUCUACUGAGAGGAACGUUCUCUACAUCUACAGAGAGGAACGUUCUCUACAUCUACUGAGAGGAACGUUCUCUACAUCUACUGAGAGGAACGUUCUCCACAUCUACUGAGAGGAAGGUUCUCUACAUCUACUGAGAGGAAGGUUCUCCACAUCUACAGAGAGGAACGUUCUCCACAUCUACUGAGAGGAAGGUUCUCUACAUCUACUGAGAGGAGCGUUCUCUACAUCUACUGAGAGGAGCGUUCUCUACAUCUACUGAGAGGAAGGUUCUCUACAUCUACUGAGAGGACCGUUCUCCACAUCUACAGAGAGGAACGUUCUCCACAUCUACUGAGAGGAAGGUUCUCUACAUCUACUGAGAGGAAGGUUCUUUACAUCUACUGAGAGGAACGUUCUCCACAUCUACUGAGAGGAACAUUCUCUACAUCUACUGAGAGGAGCGUUCUCCACAUCUACUGAGAGGAAGGUUCUCUACAUCUACAGAGAGGAACGUUCUCUACAUCUACAGAGAGGAACGUUCUCUACAUCUACUGAGAGGAAGGUUCUCCACAUCUACUGAGAGGAACGUUCUCCACAUCUACUGAGAGGAACGUUCUCUACAUCUACUGAGAGGAGCGUUCUCUACAUCUACUGAGAGGAAGGUUCUCUACAUCUACUGAGAGGACCGUUCUCCACAUCUACAGAGAGGAACGUUCUCUACAUCUACUGAGAGGAAGGUUCUUUACAUCUACUGAGAGGAACGUUCUCCACAUCUACAGAGAGGAACAUUCUCUACAUCUACUGAGAGGAACGUUCUCCACAUCUACAGAGAGGAAUAUUCUCUGCAUCUACUGAGAGGAACGUUCUCUACAUCUACAGAGAGGAACAUUCUCUACAUCUACUGAGAGGAACGUUCUCUACAUCUACUGAGAGGAGCGUUCUCCACAUCUACUGAGAGGAAGGUUCUCUACAUCUACUGAGAGGAACGUUCUCUACAUCUACUGAGCGGAAGGUUCUCUACAUCUACUGAGAGGAAGGUUCUCUACAUCUACUGAGAGGAGCGUUCUCCACAUCUACUGAGAGGAACAUUCUCCACAUCUACAGAGAGGAACGUUCUCUACAUCUACUGAGAGGAAGGUUCUCUACAUCUACUGAGAGGAGCGUUCUCCACAUCUACUGAGAGGAAGGUUCUCUACAUCUACUGAGAGGAGCGUUCUCCACAUCUACUGAGAGGAAGGUUCUCUACAUCUACUGAGAGGAGCGUUCUCCACAUCUACUGAGAGGAAGGUUCUCUACAUCUACUGAGAGGAGCGUUCUCCACAUCUACUGAGAGGAAGGUUCUCUACAUCUACAGAGAGGAACAUUCUCUACAUCUACAGAGAGGAACAUUCUCUACAUCUACUGAGAGGAACGUUCUCCACAUCUACAGAGAGGAAGGUUCUCCACAUCUACAGAGAGGAAUAUUCUCUGCAUCUACUGAGAGGAACGUUCUCUACAUCUACAGAGAGGAACAUUCUCUACAUCUACUGAGAGGAACGUUCUCUACAUCUACUGAGAGGAGCGUUCUCCACAUCUACU
Molecule: long non-coding RNA, 3314 nt
Organism: Acanthochromis polyacanthus (spiny chromis)
Lineage: Eukaryota; Metazoa; Chordata; Actinopteri; Pomacentridae
Exons: 14
Source: RefSeq, a predicted model, not a curated record